RNAcentral lists this transfer RNA (57 nucleotides) under unidentified. RNAcentral describes it as "Spelaeomysis bottazzii tRNA-Trp". The record is from RNAcentral.
AAAGUCUUAGGUUAAAAAAACCCUUGAUCUUCAAAAUCAAAAUUAUUUUAGACUUUA